This 233-nucleotide unclassified non-coding RNA is filed under the name Hevea brasiliensis (rubber tree). The record is from RNAcentral. Lineage: Eukaryota; Viridiplantae; Streptophyta; Magnoliopsida; Malpighiales; Euphorbiaceae.
GGAACAAGUGUCGUGCUCUCUCUCUCUCUCUCCAGCUCCUCUAUAGCAUAAUUCCUUUUGGGCAAAGGGCAGAUACAAUGAUACCAUUUUGUGAUGAGCAGCAAUAAACUUAGGCCAUUCUUGUUUAGUUCUUCCAGAUGGAGCAUUAUAUGAACUGGACAGAAGCUAUAGCUUCAGCUUGGGGUUUCAUGCUAUUGAUAGGUCUCAUGUGUUGCUGUCUCAGCACUAAACCU